GUUCUAGUGAAUUGUAUCACAUACUAUAAUGUACCAAACCGACAUCGCCGCGGUGUAAAUUCUGUUUUAUUUACUCCAAAAGUAAUUUAAACUGCCAAUUUUUAAAAAAGUUUGAAUUCUCGAAUAGUAAUUAGUGGGCGGUGAUCAAAUUUCCUUGAGAUUGUUACAGGCUCUCACUUACCCAUUGAGCAAGCUAAGCAGAAUUGUAAAAGUUGCGUUCCAAGUCGCAGAAUCGUACGCAGUGGCGUAGUUUAGGGGCGACCGCUCCUUCCCCCUCCCCCUCCCCC
This is a non-coding RNA of Paramuricea clavata, 287 nucleotides long. The record is from the annotation of a GenBank genome assembly. NCBI's taxonomy places the organism in Eukaryota, Metazoa, Cnidaria, Anthozoa, Malacalcyonacea, Plexauridae.